Molecule: long non-coding RNA, 3635 nt
Filed under: Equus asinus (donkey)
Lineage: Eukaryota; Metazoa; Chordata; Mammalia; Perissodactyla; Equidae
Description: lncRNA (ENSEASG00005034293.1)
Source: RNAcentral
GGGGAUCUGGCAUGUUUAUGGGAAGCGGUUCUAAAACCCUAUGUGUGUACGUCUACACGCGUGUUUCAAGCACACAUCUCCUUGGGGAGAACAUGGUUUCCUCUUGCUGGCCGGAGAGGAGUUAAUUUUUUGCGGGCCGCCGAGGCAUUACCGCUAAUGUAUGCAAGAGCUUUAUCCCCUAUUAAUAGAAAACCGGCCACAGUGACCCCAGAUUCCUCCGAGUUAAUGGGUUACCGCAUGUGCUGCUGGGGCGUUUCUUAGACAGGAAACAAAUUGCAAUAAGAUGUAAGCAGUUUUUAUUACCUUAAUCCUUUGGGGCCUAAGUUUAGGAGAGUAUGCAAAUAGAAGUUCAUCAAAGUGCUUUCUCUAUGGCGCGUGAUUGCGCUUUUUGUUGGAUUUUAUCCGUUAGUCACCAAAAGCGGCUAGAAGAGGUUUGGGGUCACGAUCUCCCGCGCAGGGUCUGACUCUGCCUAGGAAACCAGAGAAGGGCUGGUGAACCUGCCCUCACGGGCUUGGAUCCACUGCACACUCUUGCGCAUUGAAAUGGAGGGGUGCAAGCUUUGGAAAGAGCUACAUGCUGUUUAAACAGGCACUUUCUCCUUCGCUGGGGCUUAUUUUUGUUCCAGAACUAGAGCAGUUUUUGAUCCUCCGUUGGGGGAGGGCUGGGGAAUCCUCUUUGGUGUCCUUAAUCCUGUCUAUCCCUUGGAAUUUGCUUGCUGGCCAGUAGGAGAGCCGGCUUUGGAAGGGAGCUGCACAGCUCCCUGACCCCAACACCGCCUCCUGAGACGGUGAAGUGGCAUCACUGGCCACAGAGGUUUUGAGCCAGUUAGCCCCGAGACUGGGUUAGAAUGUAACAGCUUUAACUUGGAAUUUAAGAAGCUUUUUAAAAACAAUCAUUUGAAAGAAAAAAUCACGUAACCACAUUGUGUACUCUCAAAGCUGGUUUUUUAUGAAGGACAUUUGGUCACGAAUUCAUACUUGCCAAUAAGUCAAACAUAGAAGUCUUUACUUAUAUACUUACAUUACUAAAUAUACAUCUGCAUCUAUUUUUAAAAUCGAUCUUCUGGAAGGCAGGAGGUCAUGGCAUAACCUACUGGAACCACAGGUGUAAAUGACAGAAGUUAAGCGGCCGAUGCUUCUUUUGGUCACUAAAUAAGGAAAUGGGUCCAGGCUGGAAUUUACCAGAGAGGAGCCACCAGCUCCCACCUGUGGUCCAAAGAGAUAAUCAUUGGGGAAGUAAGGCUGAGAAAACAAAUGCAUUUAACUCUAAAGAGAAUCUGAAAUAAAAUCCAGAGACUUUGGUUUGGUUAAAAACUGACGAGGAUUUUUUUCUUUCUUUUUUACCCCCGAAGUGAGAAAGGGGACCAGGAGGAGGGACCUGGCAGUUUUUCACAAGGGCAAGUUGGAGGGCCAAGGGGCAGAGACAAAUAGCAGCAGGAGUGCUCAACCAGUCCUGAGGGCCCCACUCCCAGCCCAGCCCACUCCACUCCUCCUCAGCGCAUAGACUCCAGUACCUGUAACAGUGGAAAGAAAAACCUGAUAAAAAAUCAAUAACAGAAAUGAAUUUGGGCUGGCUGAACUAGAGAUUGAAAUAAAAGCCUGCAUGGAGCUAUAGAUUUUGAGGCAAGACAACAGAGGAAUUUACCUGUUUUCUUCUUAUGAGUAGAUGGUUUCAUUUUUUAUCCAGUGUGGUAGACAGCCUCCAAGAUGACCCCAGUGAUCCCCACCUCCAGCUGCAGCUCAGAUACCUGAAGUGUGAUCUCUGGAUACAUUCAUGAGCUGGUUUUAUAUGACCACAGAGCCUCCUGAGGAAGACCGACAUGGCAGGAUGCAGUUCUGCAGACUGUCCUGCAUUGGCUAGGAUCCACCGAAAGUGCAUCAUUUUGCUAUGCCCUCCAGGACUCGGUCAUCUUACUCAGGAAUAACCAGCUUUUGGGAAAACCAGCUGAUAUAGAAAUAAACAUUUAUUCCUACAAAACAACGGUUAUUUUAGUGAAUAGCGUGUCUUUUCUUAAGGUAGUUAACCCCUCCUGUGAAUGGUUUCUCAUCUGUAAAAUGGCAAUAGCUAUUUCCACCUUAUAGGGUUUUAUGAGGAUUAUACUGCUAAUACUUAGAAAGUUCCUAAUGCCUCACACACAGUAAGUGCUUAGUAAAUAUUCUUACUCCUAGGAUUGAAGAGCUGUUACUUCAUUCUCCCAGGCUAGAACUUUAACUCCUUCCUCUCCCUUGCUCUGCAUAGUCAACCAAUUACCACAUUACAUCAAGUCAAGAUUAAGUACUCUCUUAAGCAUUCCCUUCUCCCCACCUUACUCCCUCUCCACAGCCACUCUCCUAGCUUAGGCCUUCAUUGUUUCUUGCCUAGUGCAUUCCAUGGGCCUCUGGUCCAAUCCAGUUGAGUCACCAUGCUGCCGUCAGGGUGAACUUGGAAGAUAGGAACUUGAUGGUGUCACCACCUUCCACAGCUUCCAAUGACUCGUAGAACUGGGAUGACCUGGGAGUAGGAGAUUGUUAAAAUACAGGCUCCAGGGCGCCACCGCACACUCUACAAGAUUCUGAAAUGACCGUCUCAGAGCAGAGAGCUGUAUGCAGUCAGGAAGCAGUUCAGGGAGAGGGUCCCCAACUGUGGAUUCUGUAGACUCAUGGUGGAUGAAAGUUGGCAGACCCUCCCAGUAGGCCAUGUGUCCUCCCUUGGCCUCCACGUGUGCCUUUCUCAACGUGUGGCCCCACUCUUUGUUUCUGGGAUGCAGUCAGUACACAGGGAUUUGCACCUUUAGAAAACGAUGCUAACAAAAAUCAACCUAAAUACUGAUGGUGCCAUCUGUGGAUUCUCUCCCCGGAAUUAACCCACAUCAAAAUGAUAGUUUGUACAUGAAGCUCAGCAAGAGUAUAAUUUAUAUCUCAUCCAAAAACAUAACGAGCGUGUGAUCUGUUAUAAUAGCAAUUGUGAGAGAAGCUGUUGGCAACUGACAAAGAGUUAUAAAAGAGAAGACAGACUUAAACAGCAUCUUUCUAUGAGAGAGUAAUGUUUCUCUUGGAGGUGGGAGUAUUACAGCCACUAAAAAGGUAGAGCCGAGAGAAACUCCCACCUCUAGGCCUGAAUAAAAAUCUCCCAUGAAAGGGGAAAUCAUCAAAUGACCCAAGAUGCUUAAGGUGGUCCCAAGUGCCCUGCCAGUAAAAGGAGUCCAGAACACAAGACUGAUUACCCUGGGAAGCAGGGAUUCCAGGAGGAUCUUUCACACUCAGGCUGUGUAGCAGGAAAUUUUUAUUUGGCACGUGGUUCAUCCAUCAGUCUCCUAUUGGUGGGGCUCACGUGAGGCUGCAAAGCUCAGACACCUGCCCUUUGGACCUGCCGGCCCGCCAACUGCCAAAGGAGACACACCCUCGCGUGGACCCGUGGUUUAAGGGAGAGAGUCCCGGUGCUCAGGUCUUGGUGGGGUAGGUGUCACGACACCCGGGUUUGUAUUGCACUUUUACCGCGACAGAUCAUGCGCGCCCCUAAGCAUUCCUGCUCUUGAUCCGAGUGUCCUGAGUGGGGCUGAGGCAGCCUUCUUUCCAGGCGACUGUGAAUGACAGUCCCUGGCCAGCGGCUGGGACAGCCCUUGUCCCGCGAGAGUGAGCUUGCUCGCGCCGGCGCC